Long non-coding RNA from Medicago truncatula (barrel medic), 1087 nucleotides. RefSeq lists it as uncharacterized. Lineage: Eukaryota; Viridiplantae; Streptophyta; Magnoliopsida; Fabales; Fabaceae. The record is from RefSeq and is a predicted model, not a curated record. The transcript is spliced from 2 exons.
UCCUUAAAAAAAGCAUAGCGUGUGUACAAAGCUCACCAUUUCUAAUCAGUUAUCUUUAGAUUACGUUACCACCAACUGUUCCAAAUACAAAUCAAAAUCAUAUAUAAGUCUUAACUUUCCCUUAAUUUCCCCUUAAGAUUAAUACUCAUCUCAUAGAAAAAGGAAUAUAAAUGGAGCAAGAGAAGAAUAAGAGAGCAAGAGAAUAUGAUGAUAUUGAAGCUAAGAUUUGGUUUUCUUUUGAGAAUAAUAACAAGAAAGCUAAAAAAAGAGAUGUAUGUGGCACAAGUUUCACCAAGGAAAAGAAUGAAGUGGAAGAGAAAGGUUGUUUAGCAUUUGGAGUGUUUGAUUUCCCUUGGUUGAAAGAUGGUGUCAUAUACAAAUUAGAAGAUUGUUUAAUUGAUUUUGAAGACAAUUUCUUGUCAUCAUUACAAGACCAAGACAACACUUGUUUCAAGGUUUCUUCUGGUAUUGAUUUCUUUGAGGAAAAUGAUAGAUUGUGUGAGGCUCCAAAGGCUUCAAUGGAGGAUUUGUGGCUGCCAUUUGAGGUUAAUAGAUUGGAGCUUGAAGCAGAAGAUUUGGAUUGUAUUUGUAGCUCUUUGCUAAACAAUUAAGCCUCUUUCAUACAACCAAACAACAUAGGGUAUUUUUUUAUUUUUUAUUUUAAUGUUAUUAGUUCUAGUUACAAUCUUUUCAUCAUAGAUGAAUACAUCACCCUUGUAUUAGAAAUGGGUUAUUUGAAACAAAAUUGGACAACAAUUUCCGAAAGCAAUUCAUAUGGUUAACACGGUUCAUAUAUCUGGUUAAUUACGUUCAGUGGAUGGUUGAUGAAGAUAAAAAUAUGCCGCAACUCAAUAGUCAUCCAUUGAACACAACUAACCACGAUUUUGAAUGUUAUUAACCAUGAUAUUCAACCCCUAUUGGUUAGUUCUAGUUUUUCUUUCACUAUAUUCCCCACCUCCUUCUGCAGGCUUUAUUUAAAUAAGCCAUGCCAUGAAUAUUCUUGUUAAACUUUUUCAUUCAUUUUUUUGUAUGUUGAACAAGUAAAAUGUGGGGAUUUAAUACAUAUAGUAUUCAAUAUUUUUCUGCA